This 432-nucleotide ribosomal RNA is filed under the name uncultured bacterium. RNAcentral describes it as "partial 16S ribosomal RNA". It matches the Rfam family "Bacterial small subunit ribosomal RNA", at positions 29 to 507 of the family's 1533-position model. The record is from RNAcentral.
ACGAACGCUGGCGGCAUGCCUAACACAUGCAAGUCGAACGAGACCUUCGGGUCUAGUGGCGCACGGGUGCGUAACGCGUGGGAACCUGCCCUUAGGCUCGGAAUAACUCCCCGAAAGGGGUGCUAAUACCGGAUAAUGUCUUCGUACCAAAGAUUUAUCACCACUGUAUGGGCUCGCGUCGGAUUAGCUAGUUGGUAGGUUAACAGCCUACCAAGGCGACGAUCCAUAGAUGGUCAGAGAGAAUGAUGAGCCACACAGGGACUGAGACACGGCCCAGACUCCUGCGGGAAGCAGCAGUGAGGAAUAGUGGACAUAGGGCGAGAGGCUGAUCCAGCAGUGACGCGUGAAUGAUGAAGGCCGUAGGAUGGGAAAGCUCUUUUAACCGGGAAGAUAAUGACAGUACCGGGAGAAGAAGCCCCGGCUAACUCCGUG